Molecule: ribosomal RNA, 711 nt
Filed under: Pseudomonas aeruginosa
Lineage: Bacteria; Pseudomonadati; Pseudomonadota; Gammaproteobacteria; Pseudomonadales; Pseudomonadaceae
Description: bacterial SSU rRNA
Rfam family: Bacterial small subunit ribosomal RNA
Source: RNAcentral
UGCAGUCGAGCGGAUGAAGGGAGCUUGCUCCUGGAUUCAGCGGCGGACGGGUGAGUAAUGCCUAGGAAUCUGCCUGGUAGUGGGGGAUAACGUCCGGAAACGGGCGCUAAUACCGCAUACGUCCUGAGGGAGAAAGUGGGGGAUCUUCGGACCUCACGCUAUCAGAUGAGCCUAGGUCGGAUUAGCUAGUUGGUGGGGUAAAGGCCUACCAAGGCGACGAUCCGUAACUGGUCUGAGAGGAUGAUCAGUCACACUGGAACUGAGACACGGUCCAGACUCCUACGGGAGGCAGCAGUGGGGAAUAUUGGACAAUGGGCGAAAGCCUGAUCCAGCCAUGCCGCGUGUGUGAAGAAGGUCUUCGGAUUGUAAAGCACUUUAAGUUGGGAGGAAGGGCAGUAAGUUAAUACCUUGCUGUUUUGACGUUACCAACAGAAUAAGCACCGGCUAACUUCGUGCCAGCAGCCGCGGUAAUACGAAGGGUGCAAGCGUUAAUCGGAAUUACUGGGCGUAAAGCGCGCGUAGGUGGUUCAGCAAGUUGGAUGUGAAAUCCCCGGGCUCAACCUGGGAACUGCAUCCAAAACUACUGAGCUAGAGUACGGUAGAGGGUGGUGGAAUUUCCUGUGUAGCGGUGAAAUGCGUAUAUAUAGGAAGGAACACCAGUGGCGAAGGCGACCACCUGGACUGAUACUGACACUGAGGUGCGAAAGCGUG